Molecule: ribosomal RNA, 255 nt
Filed under: uncultured bacterium
Lineage: Bacteria
Description: partial 16S ribosomal RNA
Rfam family: Bacterial small subunit ribosomal RNA
Source: RNAcentral
GACGGAGGGGGCAAGCGUUGUUCGGAUUCAUUGGGCGUAAAGGGUGCGUAGGCGGUGCCGUAAGUCGGAUGUGAAAUCUCGGGGCUCAACCCUGAAACUGCAUUCGAUACUGCGGUGCUAGAGGACUCUAGAGGAAACUGGAAUUCACGGUGUAGCAGUGAAAUGCGUAGAUAUCGUGAGGAAGACCAGUGGCGAAGGCGGGUUUCUGGGAGAGUUCCUGACGCUGAGGCACGAAGGCCAGGGGAGCAAACGGGG